CUGGAGAUGGCUGAGUGGUUGAAAGCGGCGGUCUUGAAAACCGUUGAGGGUAAAACCUCCGGGGGUUCGAAUCCCUCUCUCCCGG
Molecule: transfer RNA, 85 nt
Filed under: Helicobacter heilmannii ASB1.4
Lineage: Bacteria; Pseudomonadati; Campylobacterota; Epsilonproteobacteria; Campylobacterales; Helicobacteraceae
Description: tRNA-Ser-TGA
Rfam family: tRNA
About the family: Transfer RNA (tRNA) molecules are approximately 80 nucleotides in length. Their secondary structure includes four short double-helical elements and three loops (D, anti-codon, and T loops). Further hydrogen bonds mediate the characteristic L-shaped molecular structure. tRNAs have two regions of fundamental functional importance: the anti-codon, which is responsible for specific mRNA codon recognition, and the 3' end, to which the tRNAs corresponding amino acid is attached (by aminoacyl-tRNA synthetases). tRNAs cope with the degeneracy of the genetic code in two manners: having more than one tRNA (with a specific anti-codon) for a particular amino acid; and 'wobble' base-pairing, i.e. permitting non-standard base-pairing at the 3rd anti-codon position.
Source: RNAcentral